Molecule: ribosomal RNA, 66 nt
Filed under: Actinoplanes lutulentus
Lineage: Bacteria; Bacillati; Actinomycetota; Actinomycetes; Micromonosporales; Micromonosporaceae
Description: partial 16S ribosomal RNA
Rfam family: Bacterial small subunit ribosomal RNA
Source: RNAcentral
UUUUGUUGGAGAGUUUGAUCCUGGCUCAGGACGAACGCUGGCGGCGUGCUUAACACAUGCAAGUCG